GACGUAGGGUGCAAGCGUUGUCCGGAUUUAUUGGGCGUAAAGAGCUCGUAGGCGGCUUGUCGCGUCGACUGUGAAAUCCCGCGGCUCAACCGCGGGUCUGCAGUCGAUACGGGCAGGCUAGAGUUCGGUAGGGGAGACUGGAAUUCCUGGUGUAGCGGUGAAAUGCGCAGAUAUCAGGAGGAACACCGAGUGCGAAGGCAGGUCUCUGGGCCGAUACUGACGCUGAGGAGCGAAAGCGUGGGGAGCGAACAGG
Molecule: ribosomal RNA, 253 nt
Filed under: uncultured bacterium
Lineage: Bacteria
Description: partial 16S ribosomal RNA
Rfam family: Bacterial small subunit ribosomal RNA
Source: RNAcentral